This 254-nucleotide ribosomal RNA is filed under the name uncultured bacterium. RNAcentral's name for it is "partial 16S ribosomal RNA". It matches the Rfam family "Bacterial small subunit ribosomal RNA", at positions 524 to 776 of the family's 1533-position model. The record is from RNAcentral.
UACGAAGGGUGCAAGCGUUACUCGGAAUUACUGGGCGUAAAGCGUGCGUAGGCGGGUCUUUUAAGUCAGGGGUGAAAUCCUGGAGCUCAACUCCAGAACUGCCUUUGAUACUGAGGAUCUUGAGCUCGGGAGAGGUGAGUGGAACUGCGAGUGUAGAGGUGAAAUUCGUAGAUAUUCGCAAGAACACCAGUGGCGAAGGCGGCUCACUGGCCCGAUACUGACGCUGAGGCACGAAAGCGUGGGGAGCAAACAGG